This 409-nucleotide ribosomal RNA is filed under the name Acidobacteriota bacterium. RNAcentral's name for it is "Acidobacteria bacterium partial 16S ribosomal RNA". It matches the Rfam family "Bacterial small subunit ribosomal RNA", at positions 355 to 776 of the family's 1533-position model. Lineage: Bacteria; Pseudomonadati; Acidobacteriota. The record is from RNAcentral.
UGGGGAAUAUUGCACAAUGGGCGCAAGCCUGAUGCAGCGACGCAGCGUGAGGGAUGACGGCCUUCGGGUUGUAAACCUCUUUCACCAGGGACGAAGCGCAAGUGACGGUACCUGGAGAGGAAGCACCGGCCAACUACGUGCCAGCAGCCGCGGUAAUACGUAGGGUGCGAGCGUUGUCCGGAAUUACUGGGCGUAAAGAGCUCGUAGGCGGUUUGUCGCGUCGUCUGUGAAAUUCUGCAACUCAAUUGUAGGCGUGCAGGCGAUACGGGCAGACUUGAGUACUACAGGGGGGACUGGAAUUCCUGGUGUAGCGGUGAAAUGCGCAGAUAUCAGGAGGAACACCGGUGGCGAAGGCGGGUCUCUGGGUAGUAACUGACGCUGAGGAGCGAAAGCGUGGGUAGCGAACAGG